AACUUGAGAGUUGGAUUCCUACCAACAAGAGAUUAAUGUUGAAACUUCUACUGGAAAUCCCCUGACCUCUCAAGUCGAAACUCAGCGCUCAGCGUCUCACGCUGGAUCAUAACUUGAGUGAAUGAUUGUUCACCAACAGCCACAACACACAGUGCUUCCUGCCCAAGCCAAGCUCCUAAGAUCUGAGGAAACUUUUCAAGUAUUCUGCCUUGGAUUGGAAAGUCAAGGAAGAAGCUGGCCAUGUUUUCUGAAAACAAACAAACCAAGCCAAAACAACAACAACAACAACAACAAAACACUAGCUGUCACUCUCCCAAGGAGCUGUUAUUGCAAGUGAAAGAGAGAUAUGCUUAAUUUGCAGGAAACAUCUGAGCUGUGGUUAACUCUCUUCAUUCACUGCUGGAAGGACCGCAGGAAACUGUUAAAACAGUGAUAGGAAAUCAACCUACAUUUAACAUCAAAUAUAGAUCCAAGAUUAUUAACAGGCUGGAGUUGCACUGAGACACACUUGAAGACUGAAAAAAAUUAUAGCCCCGUUAUGACUGUUUUUUAAAAGUAGUCACUCAGGAACCCAAAAAUAGCCAGCAUUUGAAGUUGAGACCGCCUGACACAUCAGACUCAUUACUGUGAUCUAAGUACCAGCCUUUGAUACUAUUUGCAAUUCUCCAGUAGGCCAUUAAGAAAAGCUGGAUAAAAAUGAAUGCCCGUGAUACCAGUCUUGGAAGUGAUUCGCGAAUUUCCCUACUCAUGUUAUAGAAGGAGGCAUUUAUGAUGGGAUAUAGAAAAUUCAUAAGGAAGCCAAGCCAGGGAGUUACUACAAAUAUGCUUAACUCUUGGAGGCAGGACUGCAGGGACUGGCCAAAGCUGGUGGAAGGUUUUCACAGCAGAGUCUUAGGGGUGGAGCUGGUUGAAUAUGUAGGGGUAAGGAAGGGUUUUGCCAUUCUAGAUACAAUCUUGAAAUUUUCAAAGGAAGCCAUCAAAACUAAGCAAAAUAUUAAAAAACAGUGAUGAAAGGAAAGUUUUGAUUUUUAAAAAAAUGCCCAGGUUGUUUUUCUUAGAAUGUUAAAUAUUUGCAAUAUGUUUUCCAAAUAGAAGUGGACAAUGACUGUAUGGGUUCUUUAAUCAAUUGAAGGUUGGUGGUUCAGAAAAGGGAAAUGUCAGUCUCUAGAAUCAGCUCACAGGGCCUCUAUCAAAUGGUAUCCCAAUGGUAAAUAAGAAUUAGUACUAUGCUAAAUAGGUAGCCUUGGCAGAUAAUAUCAACUUAGAUAAGGACAAGCGAGUCAUAGGCAGAGCCGUAGCGACCUGUCCCCUGAACCCUUACCCAGC
Grammomys surdaster is the source of this 1326-nucleotide long non-coding RNA. RefSeq lists it as uncharacterized. Lineage: Eukaryota; Metazoa; Chordata; Mammalia; Rodentia; Muridae. The transcript is spliced from 3 exons. The record is from RefSeq and is a predicted model, not a curated record.